Molecule: long non-coding RNA, 762 nt
Filed under: Olea europaea subsp. europaea
Lineage: Eukaryota; Viridiplantae; Streptophyta; Magnoliopsida; Lamiales; Oleaceae
Source: RNAcentral
GUCUCGUCGUCUCUCCAUAAAAGAUGCAAUUCCUGUCCACUUCCAAGUAGUGAAACUUGUCUUUUUUUCUUGAUUCUAUCUCCAGCUUGACUUUGUGUCUGUACAUAAGUAAACCAUCUGAAUUUGUACUGUUAGUAGUCUGUUACAGUAUUAAUAGAUCCAAAGUACAGUAAAUCUAAGAAUAUGACACAAAGUACAGAAAGAAAACUGUUAUCGCUUUUCCUGAUUUCAGAAUACACAUCCAAGGCUUUUCAAAGUAAAGAAGAUUACAUUAGGGCAUAGACUAUGAAAAUGUACCCGUCUGUAAGGUCACUAAAUGUUGAUGCCUCCAUGUAGUGAUGAAAAAAUGAAUAUUCUGCCCAAGAUGCUAUCAUUCAGAAUACUCGGUCGUUUUUAUGGUUUUAAAUCUUUAGAAGUUCACUGUCUCAUUGAACCGUCUCUCUCUCAAUGUACAGGAUGGCAAAGCCUAAAUGGCACUAUAGGCGUUCUGCGAAAUGAGAAACAAAAAAUAUAAACCUGACAUUUGUACUUUCACCGGCUAUAGUGAUUGCCUUUGCAAGAGAUGGCCUUUAUGAGAAAGCAGAAGAAUUCUUGGAACAGUUGCGGGAAGCAGGGCUUGAGACUUAUGGAUAUGCCUAUAACAAUUGACAGAGCAGCUUCAGACUCUCUUUAGAUUUUUUCAAGUCACCUAUCAUAAUUCAGUGUUGGUUCUAAGUCAUGUUUUGAUAUUCAAAUUAUAUUAUGAAGUAGUGUGUACAAAAC